GACGGGACCGCACAAGCGGUGGAUGAUGUGGAUAAUUCGAUGCAACGCGAAAACCUUACUACCCUUGACAUGUCCGGAAUCCCGAAGAGAUUUGGGAGUGCUCGCAAGAGAACCGGAACACAGGUGCUGCAUGGCUGUCGUCAGCUCGUGUCGUGAGAUGUUGGGUUAAGUCCCGCAACGAGCGCAACCCUUGUCAUUAGUUGCCAUCAUUUGGUUGGGCACUCUAAUGAGACUGCCGGUGACAAACCGGAGGAAGGUGGGGAUGACGUCAAGUCCUCAUGGCCCUUAUAGGUGGGGCUACACACGUCAUACAAUGGCCGGUACAGAGGGUAGCCAACCCGCGAGGGGGAGCCAAUCCCACAAAGCCGGUCGUAGUCCGGAUCGCAGUCUGCAACUCGACUGCGUGAAGUCGGAAUCGCUAGUAAUCGCGGAUCAGCAUGUCGCGGUGAAUACGUUCCCGGGUCUU
This 466-nucleotide ribosomal RNA is filed under the name uncultured Rhodocyclaceae bacterium. Its description in RNAcentral is "bacterial SSU rRNA". It matches the Rfam family "Bacterial small subunit ribosomal RNA", at positions 917 to 1381 of the family's 1533-position model. The record is from RNAcentral. Lineage: Bacteria; Pseudomonadati; Pseudomonadota; Betaproteobacteria; Rhodocyclales; Rhodocyclaceae.